Molecule: ribosomal RNA, 908 nt
Filed under: uncultured Bacillota bacterium
Lineage: Bacteria; Bacillati; Bacillota
Description: bacterial SSU rRNA
Rfam family: Bacterial small subunit ribosomal RNA
Source: RNAcentral
CUUUGAUUAUGGCUCAGGACGAACGCUGGCGGCGUGCUUAACACAUGCAAGUCGAACGGAGCACCCUUGAUUGAGGUUUCGGCCAAAUGAUAGGAAUGCUUAGUGGCGGACUGGUGAGUAACGCGUGAGGAACCUGCCUUUCAGAGGGGGACAACAGUUGGAAACGACUGCUAAUACCGCAUGACGCAUUUUGAUCGCAUGGUCGAAAUGCCAAAGAUUUAUCGCUGAAAGAUGGCCUCGCGUCUGAUUAGAUAGUUGGCGGGGUAACGGCCCACCAAGUCGACGAUCAGUAGCCGGACUGAGAGGUUGACCGGCCACAUUGGGACUGAGAUACGGCCCAGACUCCUACGGGAGGCAGCAGUGGGGAAUAUUGGGCAAUGGGCGCAAGCCUGACCCAGCAACGCCGCGUGAAGGAAGAAGGCUUUCGGGUUGUAAACUUCUUUUAAGUGGGAAGAGCAGAAGACGGUACCACUUGAAUAAGCCACGGCUAACUACGUGCCAGCAGCCGCGGUAAUACGUAGGUGGCAAGCGUUGUCCGGAUUUACUGGGUGUAAAGGGCGUGCAGCCGGGCAUGCAAGUCAGAUGUGAAAUCUCAGGGCUUAACCCUGAAACUGCAUUUGAAACUGUAUGUCUUGAGUGCCGGAGAGGUAAUCGGAAUUCCUUGUGUAGCGGUGAAAUGCGUAGAUAUAAGGAAGAACACCAGUGGCGAAGGCGGAUUACUGGACGGUAACUGACGGUGAGGCGCGAAGGCGUGGGGAGCGAACAGGAUUAGAUACCCUGGUAGUCCACGCUGUAAACGAUGGAUACUAGGUGUGCGGGGAUUGACCCCCUGCGUGCCGCAGUUAACACAAUAAGUAUCCCACCUGGGGAGUACGAUCGCAAGGUUGCAACUCAAAGGAAUUGACGGA